Molecule: long non-coding RNA, 1742 nt
Organism: Thamnophis elegans (Western terrestrial garter snake)
Lineage: Eukaryota; Metazoa; Chordata; Lepidosauria; Squamata; Natricidae
Exons: 3
Source: RefSeq, a predicted model, not a curated record
ACUGCGCGUGGGGGGAGAGGAGAAGGAGCUGCUGCGUGUGAUGAUAUUAGUGGGGAGGGGAUUGCCGGACCCCGGCUGACUCUGUCUGCGCGGUCGCUGCUUCUGCGGUUGGAGGAUUCGUGGCAGCUGCAGAGCAACCGACUGAGGGUAACGUGGACUGGAGGAAAAGGCAUCCAUGGUCAGAGGAUCCCAUGGGGCUCUUAAGGGAGGCAAUGGCAAAAGCAGAGUUGCACUGAUGUAGCACACCCCACCCUUUGGAUAUACAUAAAGAUACAGAUGAAUUCAUGCAUGGAAAUAUAGAUGUAUUCAAGCACUUAUGCCUGAUGGAAAGGUGGAACUCCACGUGGUAUUCUAAAGAUAGCUGUUUUGCAGAUCUAUAUCACAGCUAUUAUUAACCUAAAACAAGUCAGCCCUUUUUCCUAGACCUACAGCAGAGAAAUGGGAUAAUGAAGGAAGACAAAGCAUAACAAUCCAGAUCUUGAUUUGUUCCAAGCAUAUAGAUGGACUUCUUUCAAGCAUAUAAAGAACUGAAGAUCCUGAAGGAUGGUAAAUUUUCAACUCUUGUUUCAUUCACCAUAUACUUUUUGUGCUAUGAACCGGUAUGUUGUCUGUGAAGCACACAUUUAAUCCUUUUUUAAUAGAAUUACAUGCAUUUUUGUUUUUCCUCCUUGUGUAAAAAUAUUGUUUGGUAUUUAUAAAUAGAUGUAAUAUUGCUCCUUUACCAUUAUUUGCGAGCAUCUAUUGGUGCUUUGUCUUUUUUACAGACUCCUCAAUUUCUGGUUCAUAUUGUUGAAAGUCGGGAUUGUUGGAAACUCUUGUCAAUUUCACGAGUACCCGGAGAACCCAAAAUUUAGUAAUGAAAUUGAUAUGCUUGUCUUCUAAGCUUGUCACUUCUGGAAGCCUGGAGGCAGAGGUGGAUGAAAGUAAUCCUUCUCAGAGGUCACUGGAGACUUGAGACUACCAGGGAUUUACACAAAUAAAUCAAAGUAAAUGCUGCCUAUUUUGUAUCAUCAUCCACUGUAAUGGCUGAUGGCUAUCCAAAAUGUACAGUGCAGCCUCCAGAGAUCUAAAUUGCUCAUCCCUGCUGUAAGCCAGGUGAAAUGAUUGCUUAGCACAAUAAGUGAAGUUAGUUACUGUAGCCAAUGUAGUUAUUGUGAGUCACUGGACCCUGUUCUUCACUGUCCAAAUUAAAACAGUGGGGAAAUUGCUUAUUCAUAAUGUAUUUAAAAUAAGCAAAUGGAUUAUAAUUUCAACUGUGCAUUAAAUGAGGUGGGAUAAGAUUCCUAAUGAUUGAAAUUCUUGUAAAUGUAUGUGUGAUUUCAGCCUGGGUAUGUUGUUUUUUUGAGUUCCCUGUAAAAUGGAGUCUGAAAUAAUAAGGCUGACUACAUUAGAAUUAGACCCUUCUUUUUUUCGCUUUGUACCUUUAAUGUAUAAGUAAGCUCAUGAUGUGCUUUUUUGUGCUUUAAUUAGGUUUGGAAAGAUGUGCACAUUCUAGAUAAGUACAUGAAACAAAACCUAAUUCAUUCCAGUUUUCUCAUUUGUUUCUUAUUUUGCAUCACAAUUUUCCACUCAAAUAGUGAGCACACAACUGUGUGCAUACAUUAGAGAAAGUGCUUACAAACCAUGUAUAAUAAAUCAAAUUGCAUACAAAAAACGUGGGUUAAAAGAAAACUGUUCAUCAAUAUGCCAAUUCUCCUGAUGUAAUUUUGUUAAGUAAUUUGGAGUUGGCUGUAGAAACUGAA